Molecule: ribosomal RNA, 450 nt
Filed under: uncultured bacterium
Lineage: Bacteria
Description: partial 16S ribosomal RNA
Rfam family: Bacterial small subunit ribosomal RNA
Source: RNAcentral
GUGGGGAAUCUUCCGCAAUGGACGAAAGUCUGACGGAGCAACGCCGCGUGAGUGAAGAAGGUUUUCGGAUCGUAAAGCUCUUUCGUUAGGGACGAACGUGCUCUUUGUGAAUAAUGAGGAGUAAUGACGGUACCUAAAUAAGAAGCCACGGCUAACUACGUGCCAGCAGCCGCGGUAAUACGUAGGUGGCAAGCGUUGUCCGGAAUUAUUGGGCGUAAAGCGCGCGCAGGCGGGAUAGCAAGUCUGUCUUAAAAGUGCGAGGCUCAACCUCGUGAGGGGACAGAAACUGGUAUUCUUGAGUGUCGCAGAGGAAAGUGGAAUUCCAAGUGUAGCGGUGAAAUGCGUAGAGAUUUGGAAGAACACCAGUGGCGAAGGCGACUUUCUGGACGAUGUCUGACGCUGAGGCGCGAAAGCUAGGGGAGCGAACGGGAUUAGAUACCCGAGUAGUCC